Molecule: long non-coding RNA, 931 nt
Filed under: Dermacentor andersoni
Lineage: Eukaryota; Metazoa; Arthropoda; Arachnida; Ixodida; Ixodidae
Description: uncharacterized LOC126546265
Source: RNAcentral
CGCACGCGGAAGAUUCGCGUCGCCUGCGUUUGACCAGUUUGCCUCCUCCGAAUCCUUCGCGCUUAACCGUUAGGCAAAAGGCUGGCUGUCUCAGUACAGAGGCGAGAGGACCACGGGAUCUCGCCGUCGACUCGAGCCCCGAGUCGGUGAAGAUCCGCGCGCAAGAAAGACACCGCCGGAACUUCACCUUCUUCGUCUACCUUAGCUGAUUCUCAGUUCUCCAACGAGCAUAUCCCAGGCGUGUGGCGCUCGCUCGGCUGUGAUCCACGUCGCUGUCUCGUCCAAAUUGCGGCAUUCCCGGUCGCCGUUCUCAGUCGGAAGACGCCGUACACAACGCUCAGCGGCCGACCUGGACGGAUCGUUUUCGGUGCCGCGUUUGUUGUGCGUGUCUGUGAGACGUCCAGGACGCGAGUGCCCAAGAGCUAGCCGCCUUCCUCGGCCGACGAGCACUUGUCGACGAAGUCGGGACGCUCCGCGCGUCGUGCGACAGGCCGCCACCGGCUGGCCCUGUGCACGGUUACCGUCGAGGCCACGGUGAAGAGGGCGGUUCUGUUUGUGCCUCCGGAUCGGCCGUGGAGGUCCGUCCAGCCAGUGCCAGCCUGAGCUUUCACGGAACUGAGCCAGCUGGAGCGCCACUUUCCCGCUGACCUCGGACUUUGUCCUUGUUCGGCCCAGGCCUUAAAUAGGUGAGACGUAUAGGAGUCCAGGAAAGGGCGGGCUUGUGGUCACGGUGGGGACGGGAGCUGCCAGAGCGCAGGCGACGGUGCGCGACGUCCCUGCGGAUGCAUCCUGUAUGACGGCGGUGCGACGACGACUGCAUUGCAUGGAUCGCUUCAUCUGAGCCAGGAAGAGCGAGCCAACAGGCGACCUUGAGCAAGCCGGACGACGCAGGUGGUGGUGUGCGAUCGUGGUGAGCCUCAGCAUCUGUAGA